ACCGGCGCACGGGUGCGUAACGCGUAUGCAAUCUACCUUUAACAGAGGGAUAGCCCCGAGAAAUCGGGAUUAAUACCUCAUAAUAUUAUGACAUCCAAAGCUGCGGUUAAAGAUGAGCAUGCGUGACAUUAGCUAGUUGGUGAGGUAACGGCUCACCAAGGCGACGAUGUCUAGGGGUUCUGAGAGGAUGAUCCCCCACACUGGUACUGAGACACGGACCAGACUCCUACGGGAGGCAGCAGUAAGGAAUAUUGGUCAAUGGGCGCGAGCCUGAACCAGCCAUGCCGCGUGCAGGAAGACGGCCUUAGGGUUGUAAACUGCUUUUAUCGGGGAAUAAUGAAGGUACCCGAAGAAUAAGCAUCGGAUAACUCCGUGCCAGCAGCCGCGGUAAUACGGAGGAUGCAAGCGUUAUCCGGAUUCAUUGGGUUUAAAGGGUGCGCAGGCGGAUUGGUAAGUCAGUGGUGAAAUACAACAGCUUAACUGUUGACCUGCCAUUGAUAC
RNAcentral lists this ribosomal RNA (501 nucleotides) under uncultured soil bacterium. Its description in RNAcentral is "bacterial SSU rRNA". It matches the Rfam family "Bacterial small subunit ribosomal RNA", at positions 94 to 633 of the family's 1533-position model. The record is from RNAcentral.